CAUCGCCUCCUGCUCACGACCGUAUAGGAGGUCUCGCCUGCCCCGUGAUCACAUAUUUAACGGCCGCGGUAUUUUAACCGUGCAAAGGUAGCGCAAUCAAUUGUUUCUUAAAUAGAGACCUGUAUGAAUGGCACAACGAGGGUUUAACUGUCUCUUUCUUCCAGUCAGUGAAACUGAUCUGCCCGUGCAGAAGCGGGCAUGCUUACGCAAGACGAGAAGACCCUAUGGAGCUUUAGACGCCUACCAAUCACAUCAAAGGCGGUUAGAAAGCCUAAACCCCAAACAACGUGAUCCUGGCCAGGGCGUCUUAGGUUGGGGCGACCGUGGAGGAGAGCAAAGCCUUCGACGAGGACAGGGGCCCAUAACCCUAAAGCCAAGAGCCACACCUCUAAGUCUCGAAACAUUCGACCGAUAACUGAUCCGGCUUUUGCCGAUCAACGGACCAAGUUACCCUAGGGAUAACAGCGCAAUCCUCUCCCAGAGUCCAUAUCGACGAGAGGGUUUACGACCUCGAUGUUGGAUCAGGACAUCCUAAUGGCGCAGCCGCUAUUAAGGGUUCGUUUGUUCAACGAUUAAAGUCCUACGU
Molecule: ribosomal RNA, 586 nt
Filed under: Herklotsichthys quadrimaculatus (bluestripe herring)
Lineage: Eukaryota; Metazoa; Chordata; Actinopteri; Clupeiformes; Clupeidae
Description: partial 16S ribosomal RNA
Rfam family: Bacterial large subunit ribosomal RNA
Source: RNAcentral